Molecule: ribosomal RNA, 471 nt
Filed under: Bacillus licheniformis
Lineage: Bacteria; Bacillati; Bacillota; Bacilli; Caryophanales; Bacillaceae
Description: bacterial SSU rRNA
Rfam family: Bacterial small subunit ribosomal RNA
Source: RNAcentral
GCAGUCGAGCGGACCGACGGGAGCUUGCUCCCUUAGGUCAGCGGCGGACGGGUGAGUAACACGUGGGUAACCUGCCUGUAAGACUGGGAUAACUCCGGGAAACCGGGGCUAAUACCGGAUGCUUGAUUGAACCGCAUGGUUCAAUCAUAAAAGGUGGCUUUUAGCUACCACUUACAGAUGGACCCGCGGCGCAUUAGCUAGUUGGUGAGGUAACGGCUCACCAAGGCGACGAUGCGUAGCCGACCUGAGAGGGUGAUCGGCCACACUGGGACUGAGACACGGCCCAGACUCCUACGGGAGGCAGCAGUAGGGAAUCUUCCGCAAUGGACGAAAGUCUGACGGAGCAACGCCGCGUGAGUGAUGAAGGUUUUCGGAUCGUAAAACUCUGUUGUUAGGGAAGAACAAGUACCGUUCGAAUAGGGCGGCACCUUGACGGUACCUAACCAGAAAGCCACGGCUAACUACGUGCCA